Haliotis rubra (blacklip abalone) is the source of this 234-nucleotide long non-coding RNA. RefSeq lists it as uncharacterized. The record is from RefSeq and is a predicted model, not a curated record. The transcript has 3 exons. NCBI's taxonomy places the organism in Eukaryota, Metazoa, Mollusca, Gastropoda, Lepetellida, Haliotidae.
UGGGGAGAAAGGGUAAUCAGGAGGCCAGGUAGGACCUGGGGAGAAAGGGUAAUCAGGAGGCCAGGUAGGACCUGGGGGGAAGGGUAAUCAGGAGGCCAGGUAGGACCUGGGGGGAAGGGUUAGCCAGGAGACCUGGGAAGAAGGGGAUAGCCAGGUAGGACCUGGGGAGAAAGGGUAAUCAGGAGGCCAGGUAGGACCUGGGGAGAAAGGGUAAUCAGGAGGCCAGGUAGGACC